Molecule: ribosomal RNA, 253 nt
Filed under: uncultured bacterium
Lineage: Bacteria
Description: partial 16S ribosomal RNA
Rfam family: Bacterial small subunit ribosomal RNA
Source: RNAcentral
GACGUAGGAUGCAAGCGUUGUCCGGAAUUAUUGGGCGUAAAGAGUUCGUAGGCGGCAUAUCAAGUCCGACGUUAAAUCCCGAAGCUCAACUUCGGAUCGGCAUUGGAUACUGAUAAGCUUGAGUACAGAAGAGGCAAGGGGAAUUCCCAGUGUAGCGGUGAAAUGCGUAGAUAUUGGGAGGAACACCGGUGGCGUAAGCGCCUUGCUGGGCUGUAACUGACGCUGAGGAACGAAAGCCAGGGGAGCAAAUGGG